AAGAAAUUCCCUUCAGCGCUUUGUUACUCGUUCCAAUUUCUCUGAUCCCUCUGCUGGUUUCCUCCUAGCCGCCAAACAUGCAGUGGAUUCUUAUGUGAAGAGUGGUAUGGUAAUAGGAUUGGGCUCAGGUCAUGCUUCUGCUUUGGCUAUACAAUAUCUAGGUCAGCAACUUGGGGUUGGUGCUUAUAAAAGAUGUCACUGGCAUACCCACUAAAGGACAAACAUCAUCUUCUCAAAGCAUAGCUCGUGAAGGAAUAGAGAAUCAGGGAGUAGAAGACAUUCAACCACCAGUCCAUGUAUAGGAUCAGUUUGAUGAAGUAGCACCAAGGCCAGCAAGCAGAAUCCUAAGGGAUUAUGUUAGACCUGACCGCUUCAACUGUGAAUCUAGUGUCAGAAAACCCCCAGUGGCAGCCAACAACUUUGAAAUCAAGACAGGCCUGAUUCAAACGAUUCAACAGUCUUGCAUCUUUACUGGAGACGCAAGUGAAGAUCCACACAGUCAUUUAAUUGACUUUUUGGAACUUGUUGAAACAUCUAAGUAUAAUGGAGUACCUCAUGAAGCUAUCAAGUUAAGGCUAUUUCCUUUUUCUUUAAAAGGAGAUGCCAAACCUGGUUGCGAAGUUUGCCACAAGGUUCCAUUACCACAUGGGACCAAAUGACUCAGAAAUUUUUAAACAAAUAUUUUUCCCCCGCUAAAACCACAAAGUUAAGACAAGACAUCUCUAAUUUCUUGCAGACUGACACUGAGUCAAUUUAUCAAGCUUGGGAAAGAUUAAAAGCAAUGUUAAGAAAAGGCCCACACCAUGACAUUACUAAACAUAUGCAAUUGUAUAUUUUUUAUCAUGGGUUAAAACCAUCUUCUAGAAAUGUGAUUGAUGCAGCUGCAGGAGGUUCUGUAAUGGGAAAAACCACGGAAGAGGCAUUACAAUUGUUGAACGAGAUUUUUGAGAAUGCCAUCCAAUGGUCAUCUGAGCAUGUA
Nicotiana tabacum (common tobacco) is the source of this 979-nucleotide long non-coding RNA. RefSeq lists it as uncharacterized. NCBI's taxonomy places the organism in Eukaryota, Viridiplantae, Streptophyta, Magnoliopsida, Solanales, Solanaceae. The record is from RefSeq and is a predicted model, not a curated record.